Molecule: transfer RNA, 77 nt
Filed under: Escherichia coli
Lineage: Bacteria; Pseudomonadati; Pseudomonadota; Gammaproteobacteria; Enterobacterales; Enterobacteriaceae
Also listed under: 3 other names
Description: tRNA-Ala(tgc)
Rfam family: tRNA
About the family: Transfer RNA (tRNA) molecules are approximately 80 nucleotides in length. Their secondary structure includes four short double-helical elements and three loops (D, anti-codon, and T loops). Further hydrogen bonds mediate the characteristic L-shaped molecular structure. tRNAs have two regions of fundamental functional importance: the anti-codon, which is responsible for specific mRNA codon recognition, and the 3' end, to which the tRNAs corresponding amino acid is attached (by aminoacyl-tRNA synthetases). tRNAs cope with the degeneracy of the genetic code in two manners: having more than one tRNA (with a specific anti-codon) for a particular amino acid; and 'wobble' base-pairing, i.e. permitting non-standard base-pairing at the 3rd anti-codon position.
Source: RNAcentral
GGGGCUAUAGCUCAGCUGGGGAGAGCGCCUGCUUUGCACGCAGGAGGUCUGCGGUUCGAUCCCGCAUAGCUCCACCA